This 484-nucleotide ribosomal RNA is filed under the name uncultured bacterium. RNAcentral describes it as "partial 16S ribosomal RNA". It matches the Rfam family "Bacterial small subunit ribosomal RNA", at positions 30 to 507 of the family's 1533-position model. The record is from RNAcentral.
AUUGAACGCUGGCGGAAUGCUUUACACAUGCAAGUCGAACGGCAGCACGGGGGCAACCCUGGUGGCGAGUGGCGAACGGGUGAGUAAUACAUCGGAACGUGCCCGGCCGUGGGGGAUAACGUAGCGAAAGUUACGCUAAUAUCGCACACGAUCUGAGGAUGAAACCGGGGGACCUUCGGUCCUCGCGCGAUUGGAGGUGCCGAUGUCAGAUUAGGUAGUUGGUGGGGUAAAGGCCUACCAAGGCGACGAUCUGUAGCUGAUCUGAGAGGACGACCAGCCACACUGGAACUGAGACACGGCCCAGACUCCUACGGGAGGCAGCAGUAGGGAAUUUUGGACAAUGGGCGCAAGCCUGAUCCAGCCAUUCCGCGUGAGGGACGAAGGCCUUCGGGUUGUAAACUGCUUUUAUAUGGGAAGAAAAGGCUCUGACUAAUACCUGGAGCUCAUGACGGUACCGUAAGAGUAAGCACCGGCUAACUACGUG